ACCAAUGUGGCAGAACUAUAUGCUCUAGAUUUAAGCUCUAAAGAUGGGUAUUAUGACCCUUUUGGU
RNAcentral lists this transfer RNA (66 nucleotides) under Euciroa cf. queenslandica STW-2017. RNAcentral's name for it is "tRNA-Leu". Lineage: Eukaryota; Metazoa; Mollusca; Bivalvia; Euciroidae. The record is from RNAcentral.